RNAcentral lists this long non-coding RNA (227 nucleotides) under Sorghum bicolor (sorghum). RNAcentral's name for it is "long non-coding RNA (SBIC_LNC000102)". The record is from RNAcentral. Lineage: Eukaryota; Viridiplantae; Streptophyta; Magnoliopsida; Poales; Poaceae.
GCACAGAUGGUCAAUAGCCAGGGGCAUACACUUUAGUUGUUAUUGGCGCAUGCUCUUUAUGAACUGUUGGUGAAAAAAAAAAAUCAGAGGUCAGCACUAUUUGUUUCUGUACUUAAGAGGAUGUUUUGGUACGGCCCCAGCUUCAACAACUGCAAAGAAGCUGGAGACGCUGAACAAAGCGCUUUAGGAGGAGGAGUCAUUUUCUAGUGGUACUGCAGAAUGAGGCA